RNAcentral lists this ribosomal RNA (467 nucleotides) under uncultured bacterium. RNAcentral describes it as "partial 16S ribosomal RNA". It matches the Rfam family "Bacterial small subunit ribosomal RNA", at positions 28 to 506 of the family's 1533-position model. The record is from RNAcentral.
GACGAACGCUGGCGGCGUGCUUAACACAUGCAAGUCGAACGGAAAGGCCCUGCUUUUGUGGGGUGCUCGAGUGGCGAACGGGUGAGUAACACGUGAGUAACCUGCCCUUGACUUUGGGAUAACUUCAGGAAACUGGGGCUAAUACCGGAUAGGAGCUCCUGCUGCAUGGUGGGGGUUGGAAAGUUUCGGCGGUUGGGGAUGGACUCGCGGCUUAUCAGCUUGUUGGUGGGGUAGUGGCUUACCAAGGCUUUGACGGGUAGCCGGCCUGAGAGGGUGACCGGCCACAUUGGGACUGAGAUACGGCCCAGACUCCUACGGGAGGCAGCAGUGGGGAAUAUUGCACAAUGGGCGGAAGCCUGAGGCAGCAACGCCGCGUGCGGGAUGACGGCCUUCGGGUUGUAAACCGCUUUCGCCUGUGACGAAGCGUGAGUGACGGUAAUGGGGAAAGAAGCACCGGCGAACUACGU